Molecule: non-coding RNA, 28 nt
Filed under: Rattus norvegicus (Norway rat)
Lineage: Eukaryota; Metazoa; Chordata; Mammalia; Rodentia; Muridae
Source: RNAcentral
UCCUGUUAGAACUCAAAGCAGUGGCCUC